Molecule: ribosomal RNA, 443 nt
Filed under: uncultured bacterium
Lineage: Bacteria
Description: partial 16S ribosomal RNA
Rfam family: Bacterial small subunit ribosomal RNA
Source: RNAcentral
CCUACGGGUGGCAGCAGUUGGGAAUAUUGGGCAAUGGGCGCAAGCCUGACCCAGCAACGCCGCGUGAAGGAAGAAGGCUUUCGGGUUGUAAACUUCUUUUCUCAGGGACGAAGGAAGUGACGGUACCUGAUGAAUAAGCCACGGCUAACUACGUGCCAGCAGCCGCGGUAAUACGUAGGUGGCAAGCGUGAUCCGGAUUUAUUGGGUGUAAAGGUCGGGUAGGCGGGAGCGCAAGUCAGAUGUGAAAACUCAGGGCUCAACCCUGGGCCUGCAUUUGAAACUGGGUUUCUUGAGUGCUGGAGAGGCCAUCGGAAUUCCGUGUGUAGCGGUGAAAUGCGUAGAUAUACGGAGGAACACCAGUGGCGAAGGCGGAUGGCUGGACAGUAACUGACGCUGAGGCGCGAAAGCGUGGGGAGCAAACAGGAUUAGAUACCCGGGUAGUC